This 501-nucleotide ribosomal RNA is filed under the name uncultured bacterium. Its description in RNAcentral is "partial 16S ribosomal RNA". It matches the Rfam family "Bacterial small subunit ribosomal RNA", at positions 30 to 523 of the family's 1533-position model. The record is from RNAcentral.
AUUGAACGCUGGCGGCAGGCUUAACACAUGCAAGUCGAGCGGGGGAAGGUAGCUUGCUACCGGACCUAGCGGCGGACGGGUGAGUAAUGCUUAGGAAUCUGCCUAUUAGUGGGGGACAACAUCUCGAAAGGGAUGCUAAUACCGCAUACGUCCUAUGGGAGAAAGCAGGGGAUCUUCGGACCUUGCGCUAAUAGAUGAGCCUAAGUCGGAUUAGCUAGUUGGUGGGGUAACGGCCUACCAAGGCGACGAUCUGUAGCGGGUCUGAGAGGAUGAUCCGCCACACUGGGACUGAGACACGGCCCAGACUCCUACGGGAGGCAGCAGUGGGGAAUAUUGGACAAUGGGGGGAACCCUGAUCCAGCCAUGCCGCGUGUGUGAAGAAGGCCUUAUGGUUGUAAAGCACUUUAAGCGAGGAGGAGGCUACUUUAGUUAAUACCUAGAGAUAGUGGACGUUACUCGCAGAAUAAGCACCGGCUAACUCUGUGCCAGCAGCCGCGGUAA